UACGGGGGGGGCAAGCGUUGUUCGGAAUUACUGGGCGUAAAGGGCUUGUAGGUGGCCAACUAAGUCAGACGUGAAAUCCCUCGGCUUAACCGGGGAACUGCGUCUGAUACUGGAUGGCUGGAGUGUGGGAGAGGGAUGCGGAAUUCCAGGUGUAGCGGUGAAAUGCGUAGAUAUCUGGAGGAACACCGGUGGCGAAGGCGGCAUCCUGGACCAUUACUGACGCUGAAAAGCGAAAGCCAGGGGAGCAAACGGG
This 253-nucleotide ribosomal RNA is filed under the name uncultured bacterium. RNAcentral describes it as "partial 16S ribosomal RNA". It matches the Rfam family "Bacterial small subunit ribosomal RNA", at positions 524 to 776 of the family's 1533-position model. The record is from RNAcentral.